GUCAUAUUAUGCAGAUGGGUGCUCAUGGUGGCCUCCAAAUAAAUACAUGGACAGGCUGCUAAAGAGGGUCAGGAUGAUGGAGAUGCAAGAGCCAAAGACAGCACGGACCAAACACCAGGCCAGAAUUCUGCAUGAGUCAGUUUCCAGCCUUUUUCACAAAGUUGCCGACAACUGGAAGAAUGUCCCAAAUUGCUGAAAAAAGAAAUUCAGUAAGUCCUUAUAAAAGAGACAGUUUAAAAGAUUGAGUAAUUUUCACUCUAGAGACCCUGGGGUGACCAACAAGGACGAAUGAAAACUCCAGUGAGUGUCUCUAAGGUAGAUCCUAAUGCAGAUGGAUGGAAUGUUGAUCCGCCUAACAUGCAAGAUUUUCUGCACCGAGAACUUUGGAUGACCAUCAAGACAAGCACUCGUUUUGAGUCCUGAGACCCUGGGGUGACCACCGUGAACAAAUACAGACUGCAAAAAGGCAGUCUUGACGGUUCUAGGAUGAAUGCAAAUAAAGACUGACCACCUGACUUCAGCGGUCCAGCCUCUUGUGGGAAGCAGGUGUUUGUUACCCCAAAUACGGAUGAAGAGUGACGAAGAGGAUGAUGACUUUUUUUCUUAAACAUCAUCUGAAGGAUCUUGACAGGCUGGAGACAAAAUGAACAGACUGAGGGUUUAUACAAAGAAUCUUACUCAGCCAAUAUUAAAGAUAAGAUAUUUUUACAAAAUGUUCUUUUCAUUGUUUAGGAUGAUUUUAUGUAGAAAACAAUACAUCACAAAAAAGACUUUAGCUGGGUUUUCACAGGCAGUGCCUUACACACACACUAACCACAAUUAUAAACGCAACACUAACACAGAUUUAGACAGAUUUGUGAAUAAUAUCUGAGAGAAAUAGGCCUUUUGGGGACAUAGAAAAUAUUUAAGUUCAGCUCAUGAAAUGAAAAAUGGGGGCAAAAAAUGUUUUAACAAGUGCAAUACAAAUAUCAACCAUAAUACUGAUCGUUUAAAAAAAAGUAAGCCACUAUAUCUUUCUAGAAUCUUACAUAAGACUCAGUUACAUAAA
Misgurnus anguillicaudatus (oriental weatherfish) is the source of this 1048-nucleotide non-coding RNA. The record is from RefSeq and is a predicted model, not a curated record. Lineage: Eukaryota; Metazoa; Chordata; Actinopteri; Cypriniformes; Cobitidae.